CAGCCGCCGCGGGAAUACGUAGGGUGCGAGCGUUAAUCGGAAUUACUGGGCGUAAAGCGUGCGCAGGCGGUUUUGUAAGACAGAGGUGAAAUCCCCGGGCUCAACCUGGGAACUGCCUUUGUGACUGCAAGGCUGGAGUGCGGCAGAGGGGGAUGGGAUUCCGCGUGUAGCAGUGAAAUGCGUAGAUAUGCGGAGGAACACCGAUGGCGAAGGCAAUCCCCUGGGCCUGCACUGACGCCCAUGCACGAAAGCGUGGGGAGCAAACAGGAUUAGAUACCCGCGUAGUCCCUGUCUCUUAUAA
RNAcentral lists this ribosomal RNA (301 nucleotides) under uncultured bacterium. RNAcentral describes it as "partial 16S ribosomal RNA". It matches the Rfam family "Bacterial small subunit ribosomal RNA", at positions 509 to 809 of the family's 1533-position model. The record is from RNAcentral.